Paramuricea clavata is the source of this 110-nucleotide non-coding RNA. The record is from the annotation of a GenBank genome assembly. NCBI's taxonomy places the organism in Eukaryota, Metazoa, Cnidaria, Anthozoa, Malacalcyonacea, Plexauridae.
ACUACAAACUUGUUUCGUAUGACAAGCAAUGCUUGCCACACUCAUCAGGUGAAUUAAAAAAAAAUGCAAAAAAAAAAAGCAUUGCUUGUCAUACGAAACAAGUUUGUAGU